RNAcentral lists this ribosomal RNA (172 nucleotides) under Ditropichthys storeri. RNAcentral's name for it is "partial 12S rRNA". Lineage: Eukaryota; Metazoa; Chordata; Actinopteri; Beryciformes; Cetomimidae. The record is from RNAcentral.
UACCGCGGUUAUACGAGGGGCCCAAGUUGAUAAAUACCGGCGUAAAGGGUGGUUAGGGCACAUUUAAACUAAAGCAAAACACCACCAAAGCUGUUAUACGCACCCGGAGGUAUGAGUAACCACCACGAAAGUGGCUUUACCCCCCCCCCCUGAACCCACGAAAGCUAUGCCA